RNAcentral lists this ribosomal RNA (260 nucleotides) under uncultured archaeon. RNAcentral's name for it is "partial 16S ribosomal RNA". It matches the Rfam family "Archaeal small subunit ribosomal RNA", at positions 1006 to 1270 of the family's 1478-position model. The record is from RNAcentral.
UGCUCCUUGCACACGGUUUUUAGUCAGGCAACGAGCAAGACCCGUGCCCACAGUUGCCAGCAUACCCUCCGGGGUGAUGGGCACACUGUGGGGACCGCCGCUGCUAAAGCGGAGGAAGGUGCGGGCUACGGUAGGUCAGUAUGCCCCGAAUCAUCCGGGCUACACGCGGGCUACAAUGGUUGGGACAAUGGGCACCUACACCGAGAGGUGAUGGUAAUCUCCUAAACCCAGCCUUAGUUCGGAUUGAGGGCUGCAACUCG